GACGAACGCUGGCGGCGUGCCUAAUCCAUGCAAGUAGGACGCAGUUGCGAACGGGUGAGUAACGCGUAGGUAACUACCUAUUAGAGGGGGAUAACUAUUGGAAACGAUAGCUAAUACCGCAUACUAGUAGAUGGACCUGCGUUGUAUUAGCUAGUAGGUAGGGGAAUGGCCUACCUAGGCAACUAUCCAUAGACGACCUGAGAGGGUGAACGGCCAAAAUGGGACUUAGGAACGGCCCAGACUCCUGCGGGAGGCAGCAGUAGGGAAACUUCGGCAAUGGGGGGAACCCUUACCGAGCAACGCCGCGUGAGUGAAGAAGGGUUUCGGAUCGUAAAGCUCUGUUGUUAAGGAAGCGGUACUUAACCAGAAAGGGACGGCUAACUACGUGCCAGCAGCCGCGGUAAUUC
This 407-nucleotide ribosomal RNA is filed under the name uncultured bacterium. RNAcentral's name for it is "partial 16S ribosomal RNA". It matches the Rfam family "Bacterial small subunit ribosomal RNA", at positions 28 to 526 of the family's 1533-position model. The record is from RNAcentral.